AUGACGGGGCAGCCGCCAAGGCUCGUGUUCCGGUUCACCCAGGCGGAGGUCGCCAAGAUGGAGGAGGUCCUCCGUGAGCUCGACGCCAAGCCCAAGCGUCCUGUCAUCCAGGGCCUAAUCGAUCACUUCAACGCCUCCCCGGACCGCUCAGGCGACGGCAAGGUCCCCGUCCAGUACAAUCAGGUGAGGAAUUGGUUCCAUAACCGGAGGUCCGCGCAAUCCCAGCGGUCCAGGAAGAUGAUGCUACCCCCUGUUAACGAGGAACACCACCCAGUGACCGGAUCCUACUCAGGGAAUAUUUCUUCGGAUGGUGGUCAUGUCCAGUUUGAAGCAAAGUCGGCUAGAAAUGGAGCAUGGUACGAUGUUGCUGCCUUUCUGUCCCACAGGUUCAUUGACACGAGGGACCCGGAAGGCAAAGAGCAGGCCUGCUAUUUUGAUGCGCAUGUUCUUCAAGUUCAAAGACGCAGGCAUGACAUAAGGGGGUGCCGCUGCAGGUUUCUUGUUUGUUAUGAUCAUGAUCACUCUGAGGAGUUUGUUCCACUGAGCAUGGUAUGCCGUCGACCAAUGCACCAGACAACCCAAAAGCCACACAAAAUGAUGAGUAUCAACACUGACAAGGUGACCGGGGGCGCGGUUCCCAUUCCACCAGAUCAAGGAGGGCCAUCUGACAAGGCGGUUGCUCCCUUACUAGACACACCUACUAGCACCCGCAGCUAUUCAGUGGCAGAUGUUGAGAUGGGGGAUGCGGAGGCUGCCCCAAACAGUGAAGCUGCAAAUGAAGCACAUGACGACACGAUGAAUCUGGGAGUGUAG
RNAcentral lists this ribosomal RNA (813 nucleotides) under Triticum aestivum (bread wheat). RNAcentral describes it as "partial small subunit ribosomal RNA". Lineage: Eukaryota; Viridiplantae; Streptophyta; Magnoliopsida; Poales; Poaceae. The record is from RNAcentral.